GGGCUGGGGCUCAGUGGCAGAGCGCUUGCCUAGCAUGUGUGAGGCACUGGGUUCAAUCCUCAGCACCACA
This 70-nucleotide transfer RNA is filed under the name Marmota monax (woodchuck). RNAcentral's name for it is "tRNA.Ala". The record is from RNAcentral. Lineage: Eukaryota; Metazoa; Chordata; Mammalia; Rodentia; Sciuridae.